Molecule: ribosomal RNA, 465 nt
Filed under: Vreelandella stevensii
Lineage: Bacteria; Pseudomonadati; Pseudomonadota; Gammaproteobacteria; Oceanospirillales; Halomonadaceae
Description: partial 16S ribosomal RNA
Rfam family: Bacterial small subunit ribosomal RNA
Source: RNAcentral
CCUACGGGUGGCAGCAGUGGGGAAUAUUGGACAAUGGGCGAAAGCCUGAUCCAGCCAUGCCGCGUGUGUGAAGAAGGCCUUCGGGUUGUAAAGCACUUUCAGUGGGGAAGAAAGCCUUGGGGCUAAUACCCUCGAGGAAGGACAUCACCCACAGAAGAAGCACCGGCUAACUCCGUGCCAGCAGCCGCGGUAAUACGGAGGGUGUGAGCGUUAAUCGGAAUUACUGGGCGUAAAGCGCGCGUAGGCGGUCUGAUAAGCCGGUUGUGAAAGCCCCGGGCUCAACCUGGGAACGGCAUCCGGAACUGUCAGGCUAGAGUGCAGGAGAGGAAGGUAGAAUUCCCGGUGUAGCGGUGAAAUGCGUAGAGAUCGGGAGGAAUACCAGUGGCGAAGGCGGCCUUCUGGACUGACACUGACGCUGAGGUGCGAAAGCGUGGGUAGCAAACAGGAUUAGAUACCCCUGUAGUC